GAUGAACGCUGGCGGCGUGCCUAAUACAUGCAAGUCGAGCGAACGGACGAGAAGCUUGCUUCUCUGAUGUUAGCGGCGGACGGGUGAGUAACACGUGGAUAACCUACCUAUAAGACUGGGAUAACUUCGGGAAACCGGAGCUAAUACCGGAUAAUAUUUUGAACCGCAUGGUUCAAAAGUGAAAGACGGUCUUGCUGUCACUUAUAGAUGGAUCCGCGCUGCAUUAGCUAGUUGGUAAGGUAACGGCUUACCAAGGCAACGAUGCAUAGCCGACCUGAGAGGGUGAUCGGCCACACUGGAACUGAGACACGGUCCAGACUCCUACGGGAGGCAGCAGUAGGGAAUCUUCCGCAAUGGGCGAAAGCCUGACGGAGCAACGCCGCGUGAGUGAUGAAGGUCUUCGGAUCGUAAAACUCUGUUAUUAGGGAAGAACAUAUGUGUAAGUAACUGUGCACAUCUUGACGGUACCUAAUCAGAAAGCCACGGCUAACUACGUGCCAGCAGCCGCGGUAAUACGUAGGUGGCAAGCGUUAUCCGGAAUUAUUGGGCGUAAAGCGCGCGUAGGCGGUUUUUUAAGUCUGAUGUGAAAGCCCACGGCUCAACCGUGGAGGGUCAUUGGAAACUGGAAAACUUGAGUGCAGAAGAGGAAAGUGGAAUUCCAUGUGUAGCGGUGAAAUGCGCAGAGAUAUGGAGGAACACCAGUGGCGAAGGCGACUUUCUGGUCUGUAACUGACGCUGAUGUGCGAAAGCGUGGGGAUCAAACAGGAUUAGAUACCCUGGUAGUCCACGCCGUAAACGAUGAGUGCUAAGUGUUAGGGGGUUUCCGCCCCUUAGUGCUGCAGCUAACGCAUUAAGCACUCCGCCUGGGGAGUACGACCGCAAGGUUGAAACUCAAAGGAAUUGACGGGGACCCGCACAAGCGGUGGAGCAUGUGGUUUAAUUCGAAGCAACGCGAAGAACCUUACCAAAUCUUGACAUCCUUUGACAACUCUAGAGAUAGAGCUUUCCCCUUCGGGGGACAAAGUGACAGGUGGUGCAUGGUUGUCGUCAGCUCGUGUCGUGAGAUGUUGGGUUAAGUCCCGCAACGAGCGCAACCCUUAAGCUUAGUUGCCAUCAUUAAGUUGGGCACUCUAAGUUGACUGCCGGUGACAAACCGGAGGAAGGUGGGGAUGACGUCAAAUCAUCAUGCCCCUUAUGAUUUGGGCUACACACGUGCUACAAUGGACAAUACAAAGGGCAGCGAAACCGCGANNGGUCCAAGCNAAAUCCCAUAAAGUUGUUCUCAGUUCGGAUUGUAGUCUGCAACUCGACUACAUGAAGCUGGAAUCGCUAGUAAUCGUAGAUCAGCAUGCUACGGUGAAUACGUUCCCGGGUCU
Molecule: ribosomal RNA, 1376 nt
Filed under: uncultured bacterium
Lineage: Bacteria
Description: bacterial SSU rRNA
Rfam family: Bacterial small subunit ribosomal RNA
Source: RNAcentral